GCAGGCAAGUGUCAAAAAUUGCAAAUUUUGCUUUGUUUUGAAUACAUACGUGAGCUAAAUUAUCACUAUUUAUUUAAAUUUAUUAGGUCGCAAUAAAUCCUAUAAUUAUCACACAAAGAUCAACAAGUGCAUAGCAAGAUUAUAAAGUGUUAGAAGCCAGUGGGUUAGAAAUAAAUAAGGUUUUGGUGAAAGGAUAUGUGUUAAACGUAAUUUGUUGUAAUUUUAUAAUUACACAAUGGGCAAUCAGCUGGUGGGUGUUGCUCCAUCACAGAUUUAUCCCGUAGAACACUAUCUGAGCGAUCAUGUUGACCUAUCAUUUGAUCAGAGCUUGGGUUCCACCCGCUUCCUGAAGGUAGCUAGAGCGAGAUCCCGUGAAGGUCUAGUGGUAGUGAAGGUGUUUGCUGUCCAUGACCCCUCGUUACCACUGGCUGAACAUAAGGAACGGAUCCUGAAGAUAAAAGAGCAGCUGGCUUCAGCAUUCAACUGUCUGCCAUUUCAGAGGGUUAUUCUAACAGACAAAGCCGGUCUCCUCAUGCGUGAGUACUGCAAAUGCAGUGUGUACGACCGCAUGUCCACCCGUCCGUUCCUCACCACGCUGGAGAAGAAGUGGAUCACCUUCCAAGUACUGUAUGCACUGCAUAGAAUGCAUAAGCUUGGGAUUUGUCAUGGAGAUAUCAAGCUAGAAAACAUAAUGGUGACAUCCUGGCUGUGGGUGCUGCUGACAGACAUAGCUUCCUUCAAGCCGACCUUCCUCCCUGACGACAAUCCGGCAGACUUCAGCUACUUCUUCGAUACCUCUCGCAGGAGGCUGUGCUAUGUGGCCCCUGAGAGAUUCGUGAGGGCUCCUGAUCCUCAUAAUAGACCUAUGAGUGAUGACAAAAUGGGCGGUCUCUUGUUAAGCGAAUCGCCAUGUAAAGUUGGCGAGCUCGUACCUAGCAUGGAUAUAUUUUCAGCUGGCUGUGCUCUCCUAGAACUUUGGAACGACGGCACUCCAGCCCUAGACCUCCCAGGUCUACUAGCCUACCGUAACGGAGAAGACAGGCCUCCGACCAUGACGCUCAGCACGGAUGACCCACAGUUGAGGACUCUCCUCCACUCCAUGACCGAGAGGAACCCGAGAGAUAGGAGGACUGCCGAGUUGUAUCUCGAUGAGGCGAGGGGCAAAUUAUUCCCGGAAUACUUCUACUCAUUCCUCCAAUCAUACAUGCUAAUAUUCUCCGCCCAACCAAUACUACCGCCCGACGAAAAAAUACUACGCAUUCACCAGGACAUUAAGAACAUUAUCAAGAUAUUCACCCAACCCUCCGAUGCUAAGAACUACCAAGACUUGGUCGAAGAAACUACAGACCAUCAGAAUAUUGACAGCAUUGAUAAAUUGAAGGAUAAGUUUAAAGUGCUCAAUGUUAAUACGACAGAUUUUGAUGAUGAAGAUGAUAAGGCCCCAGAGAGAAAAGAUAUGGGGCCCGAUAGUGAAGGGUUGAUAUUAAUUACGUCAUUAGUGACGUCAUGCAUUAGGGGGUUGCAUCAUUGUACUUCGAAGUUGUAUAGUUUGGAGAUUCUGCAGCUGUUGUGCGAGAAUUCGAGUUCGGAGACUAUUUUGGAUCGGAUUCUGCCUUAUAUUAUCCACCUAUCGCAUGACAACGUGUCCCGCGUCCGAGCCCGCGCCGUAGCCACCUGCGCCCGCGCAUUGUCCGCCGUACGCUUACUCCCCAACUCGGACUGCAACGUGUUCCCCGAGUACAUCCUGCCGGAGCUCGGCCCCCGCGCCACCGACCCCAGCGUGCCCGUGCGCAUCGCGUAUGCUAACAAUAUCGCUAAACUGGCGGAGACGGCAGUACGUUUCCUGGACCAGACACAAAAUAUGGUGGAGAAGGAAGCAGCUAACAUCAACUACGAGACUGAGCUGUCUGCUCUGCAUGAAAUGGUCCGCUCAACAGUAUCGUAUUUACUGACCGACUCGCAAGCGGUGGUCAAGCGAGCCUUAGUAGAAAAUGGCAUCACAAAGCUUUGUAUAUUCUUCGGAAAACAGAAAGCAAACGACGUGAUACUAUCGCACAUGGUGACGUUUCUGAACGACAAGGAGGAGGCUGCCCUGCGCGGGUGCUUCUUCGAGCGCGUGGUCGGCGUCGCCGCAUACGUGGGCCACCACGCCGCGCCUAUACUUGUACCACUCUUGCAACAGGGCCUAACAGACCAAUCAGAGUGGAUUAUAGCGAAGGCUUUACGGGCUACUACAAGUCUAGCAGAGCUAGGGCUACUGCCCAAACAGGCGCUCUGUGACCUGGUGGCCGAGAGCGCGGUGUUUCUAGCGCAUCCUAACUUGUGGAUUCGUCACGAGGUCUGUGGCCUAGUAUCAUGCGUGUCCAGCCUUCUAAACCCGAUUGACGUCAACUGCAAGAUACUACCCCUCGUCUGGCCACACCUCAAACACAAACUUAUACAGGUAGAAAGAGCAGAGUUACUGCUAGAAAGCUUGGCGGAACCUAUUCCCCGCAAGGUGUUAGAUGCAGUGCUGCGUCACGGGGAUGUGGACAGACUUGUACAUACGCUACGAGAGAGAAGGAAUACUAGACUCAAGGUAAAACAGGGCACCGUUCCACAAUAUUCGGAAAUGGGACAACAGCUCAGAAACUUGUUUAGAAGACUGGCUUCUGAUGGUAUGACGGAGCACGUGGAAAACCAGCUAUUGGCAAUGAGUGCGCAUUUAAUUAAAAUACAGGGCUCAUCAACACAGCACAUCACGGAGGCGCCAGGUCGGCUGGUGCUGGCCAAGGGCAUGUCUCGCGCCGUGCAGCUGGACUGCAUGCCGCAUGUCGACUGCGACGCACACAGCCGGCGCAGUCACAAGACAUCGGUAUCGCACGAGACGCAUAUGAACACGGAAUGGCAACACAUGUUCGGACAGUCACAUGAACAACAUUCUAGAGUUUCAGAGAGCGCGGCACAGUCGCAGCCGCUGUCGGCGGGCGGCGCCGCGUCGCCAGCCAUGUCUGUGCCGCCGCAGCACUCGCAGCUCGGGCACAGUGCUAGCUAUGUGCAAUACAGCAUGGCGCCGUGUCGCGUGGAGCUGAGAGACUUGACAGCCCGUAUGCAACAGAAAUAUCAGAAAUCGCUGAGGAGUCACGAUGACCCACUAGACAACAACGACGACAUGUUACCCCCGGCCGGCUGGCGGCCCGGGAACCAGCUGCUUGCCUACUUACAUGAACACAAGGCCCGUGUAAAUCAGAUGGUGACGCUACCAGCGCAGGUGUCGCUGUUCGGCUCGUGCUCCGACGACGGCACCGUGCGCCUGUGGGACGCGCAGCGCCUGCACACGCAGGCACACAUCAACAGGUAACACUGCCGUGUGCUGGCAACACUGCCAUGUCACAGACGGCACCGUGCGCCUGUGGGACGCGCAGCGCCUGCACACGCAGGCACACAUCAACAGGUAACACUGCCGUGUGCUGGCAACACUGCCAUGUCACAGACGGCACCGUGCGCCUGUGGGACGCGCAGCGCCUGCACACGCAGGCACACAUCAACAGGUAACACUGCCGUGUGCUGGCAACACUGCCAUGUCACAGACGGCACCGUGCGCCUGUGGGACGCGCAGCGCCUGCACACGCAGGCACACAUCAACAGGUAACACUGCCGUGUGCUGGCAACACUGCCAUGUCACAGACGGCACCGUGCGCCUGUGGGACGCGCAGCGCCUGCACACGCAGGCACACAUCAACAGGUAACACUGCCGUGUGCUGGCAACACUGCCAUGUCACAGACGGCACCGUGCGCCUGUGGGACGCGCAGCGCCUGCACACGCAGGCACACAUCAACAGGUAACACUGCCGUGUGCUGGCAACACUGCCAUGUCACAGACGGCACCGUGCGCCUGUGGGACGCGCAGCGCCUGCACACGCAGGCACACAUCAACAGGUAACACUGCCGUGUGCUGGCAACACUGCCAUGUCACAGACGGCACCGUGCGCCUGUGGGACGCGCAGCGCCUGCACACGCAGGCACACAUCAACAGGUAUAGAGAAAAUAAAGAUAACUAUAAAAAAAGGACGAUAUAUAAAAUCGUCAUCAUCACCUCCCUAGCCUUUUCCCUUCUUUAUUAAAGUGGGCUUCCAAUUUAACCGGAUGCAGCGGACUACCAGUGUUUUACAUGGAGUACCUGUCUACGUGCCUUCAUCAACCUAAUUACCCGGGCAUCUCGAUACCCCUUGAUAAGACUGGUUGUCAGGCUUUCUGGCUUCUAACUACCCGUAAUGAUUGCCAAAUAUGUUCAAACGACAGCCGAGAUCCACCUUUGACGUGCCUUCCGAAACACGGAGUCACUCGUCAUGUCAAGAUAGUC
RNAcentral lists this unclassified non-coding RNA (4342 nucleotides) under Helicoverpa zea (corn earworm). RNAcentral describes it as "phosphoinositide 3-kinase regulatory subunit 4, transcript variant X1". Lineage: Eukaryota; Metazoa; Arthropoda; Insecta; Lepidoptera; Noctuidae. The record is from RNAcentral.